Molecule: long non-coding RNA, 1200 nt
Organism: Acipenser ruthenus (sterlet)
Lineage: Eukaryota; Metazoa; Chordata; Actinopteri; Acipenseriformes; Acipenseridae
Exons: 5
Source: RefSeq, a predicted model, not a curated record
CCCUGAUCACUAGGUAACAGGCAGGACACUGGACUUGUUGCUUAGCAACCUUUGCUAGGGGACGCAAAGAUUCAGUGACCAAGGGUCAUUAAUAAGGCAAACUUGCACUUCAGAGAAUUGACUUCGGAUUGUAACUGGUUUAGACAGGAGUCAGACACAGAGACAGUCCACGGAUUAGCCAAGGCAUGUGGGGACACUCAGCUUGCCGUUCCAACUCACCCCCCUGGACAAUGCUGUCGGGGGUCAAAGACACCCUGUACCACCCCCACCUGCCCACCCUGCGCCGCAUGGACAUGGACACUGACUCAACGGCUCCCAGACGAGCACAGCCGCACCACCACCCCCUGCAGCCGAGAGGACUUCAGGGACUGGUCCAGCUGUUGCCACAAGCUUCCCAAGAGACACUUCAUUGUCACUGACACUUUCCGCAACAAAUAUCUGAGGUCAACAUACCCCUCCACUGCAGAACAGCGCCUCCUUCUGGAUAGUACAGUGGCCUGGUCAGCUAGCCGUCCCUCCACAGAACCUCGUUUCAGUGGAUAUUCUUUGAGGUACUUGAAACCUAACACCCCCAAGUCGUGGAAGGUGUGUGCUUAAAGCAAGCUAUUUUAAAGAUUGAAAAACAGGCUCAAGAUUUACAUUGGUUGCAACUGUGUCUUGCAAGUCACACAGAGAGAUUGUUCUUUAGUCACUUUCCUUAAAAUCACAGUGCAUGAAUAUUUUGUGAACCAAUAAUCAUAAUAGUACAUCAAAAAGCUAAUUUCACAUUUAACUUUCAUAACAGUAGUGGAACCACUUUAAUGUUUCUAAAACUGUAUUUAUACAGCAUCUGUUUACAAUCUUUGUUGUUUAGUGAAUGUUGUGAAUCUGGGCCCUAUUCAUUACGUUUUUAACUCCCACUUUAAAAAAACCAACAGCAGUCUAUUGUGAAUAUCAACAUAUAUGUAAAAAUAGUCUUUACAUUACUCUCCAGUAAGAGCUUUGUGAGCAAGGCCAAUAUCAUUAAAAGGAAGUGUUUGAACUUUGAGGCUCACUUCUGCAUCCCUGAAGGCCAAUAAAUUUCAAUUACCACAUGCCCUCUCUUUCAGUUUUGCCUCACUCACAACCCCAGCUUGGAUCAAUAUGGGCCGAAGCCUAUGGCCUUUCACACUUUGUAAGUCAAACAAACAUUUGACUAGCACUGGACAAAUCUCCCUUGCU